Molecule: ribosomal RNA, 433 nt
Filed under: uncultured bacterium
Lineage: Bacteria
Description: bacterial SSU rRNA
Rfam family: Bacterial small subunit ribosomal RNA
Source: RNAcentral
GAACGCGAAGAACCUUACCAGGUCUUGACAUCCCUCUGACCGCUCUAGAGAUAGAGCUUUCCUUCGGGACAGAGGUGACAGGUGGUGCAUGGUUGUCGUCAGCUCGUGUCGUGAGAUGUUGGGUUAAGUCCCGCAACGAGCGCAACCCCUACUGUUAGUUGCCAUCAUUCAGUUGGGCACUCUAGCGAGACUGCCGGUAAUAAACCGGAGGAAGGUGGGGAUGACGUCAAAUCAUCAUGCCCCUUAUGACCUGGGCUACACACGUGCUACAAUGGCUGGUACAACGAGUCGCAAGCCGGUGACGGCAAGCUAAUCUCUUAAAGCCAGUCUCAGUUCGGAUUGUAGGCUGCAACUCGCCUACAUGAAGUCGGAAUCGCUAGUAAUCGCGGAUCAGCACGCCGCGGUGAAUACGUUCCCGGGUCUUGUACACACC